Molecule: ribosomal RNA, 253 nt
Filed under: uncultured bacterium
Lineage: Bacteria
Description: partial 16S ribosomal RNA
Rfam family: Bacterial small subunit ribosomal RNA
Source: RNAcentral
UACGUAGGGCGCAAGCGUUAUCCGGAAUUAUUGGGCGUAAAGAGCUUGUAGGCGGUUUGUCGCGUCUGCCGUGAAAGCCCAGGGCUUAACCCUGGGUCUGCGGUGGGUACGGGCAGACUAGAGUGUGGUAGGGGAGACUGGAAUUCCUGGUGUAGCGGUGAAAUGCGCAGAUAUCAGGAGGAACACCGAUGGCGAAGGCAGGUCUCUGGGCCACUACUGACGCUGAGAAGCGAAAGCAUGGGGAGCAAACAGG